This 394-nucleotide ribosomal RNA is filed under the name uncultured bacterium. Its description in RNAcentral is "partial 16S ribosomal RNA". It matches the Rfam family "Bacterial small subunit ribosomal RNA", at positions 523 to 918 of the family's 1533-position model. The record is from RNAcentral.
AUACGUAGGGGGCUAGCGUUAUCCGGAAUUACUGGGCGUAAAGGGUGCGUAGGUGGUUUCUUAAGUCAGAAGUGAAAGGCUACGGCUCAACCGUAGUAAGCUUUUGAAACUAAGAGACUUGAGUGCAGGAGAGGAGAGUAGAAUUCCUAGUGUAGCGGUGAAAUGCGUAGAUAUUAGGAGGAAUACCAGUUGGGAAGGCGGCUCUCUGGACUGUAACUGACACUGAGGCACGAAAGCGUGGGGAGCAAACAGGAUUAGAUACCCUGGUAGUCCACGCCGUAAACGAUGAGUACUAGCUGUCGGGGGUUACCCCCCUCGGUGGCGCAGCUAACGCAUUAAGUACUCCGCCUGGGAAGUACGCUCGCAAGAGUGAAACUCAAAUGAAUUGACGGGG